CUUGUCUCCCCUCUUUGGCUAACCCCUUCUUUCAGCAGGAAUCAGGCUGCAGCCAGCUGGCAGCUAGCACGCUAGCUCGAAUGCAGAGGCAGCGAGGUCUUGUUUUCAUUCUGUUUAGUUUACAGUUACAGUAUCUACUAUCUGCAACACGGGCUGUGGAGUUUCUAGCUAUAGUGCUAAAGUCCCAUAAAUUAAAAUUUAUCCACAGAAGAUACCCAUCAAAGGGCCAAUCUAGUGUCCAGGAUACAUAAAGCGAUCUUAAUUAUCAAUGAGAGAAAUCAAUAGAAAUUGAAAUAGAAAGACUCGGUCUUCACAAAGAGGAUACACGAGAUCCUUAAGUGCCAAGUUCAUCAGUCAUCUGAGAAAUGCAAAGUAAAGUCGCAGUGCCACAUUACUGACUCCCACCAGGGCUGACUCGAAGCUCACAGCCUCCAAUGCUGACCAGGGUGUGGAGUGUCCCAGGCAGGUAGGACAAACUGACAACUUAGGAAACAGUGGCCUCAACCAGAACUCAGCCACACUCAGCCAGGAAUUCAGUUCCUGGGGGUGAUUCCAACAGGAGGGAGUAAAAGCACUGACCAGAAGUCUCGCAUACAAGUGUGCACAACAGCUACGCAAAACAGCCCCAAACAGACCACAGUCAGAAACUGCUGUGUGUUCCUAGGAUGGAGUGGGUAUGAAAGAGAACUGAUGGAUUAAAGAAAAUCCCUAUUGCAUCAAAGAAGCCAAACUGGAAGAACAAUUCUGCUUCCAUCCAUGCCAAGAUCAGAGGGAGGUAAAACUAAAGCAUUCUUAAGCCUCAGACCCAGGUCUCCUGUGGCCUGGAGGAGGCGCUGCGCCCCAGCCAGUCUGCCUUCCCACGUGAAAAUCAUUUUCCCCAACCGUGUACUUCUUCGCACACACCUGACACAUCAAGGAAAAUUGCCUAGGGCUGGGGAGGAGCUCCAUGGUCCAGUGAGUGCUCAGCACCACAAGGCCUAAGAUUCAGUUCCCAGUGCCAAAAAGAAGAAAAACAGUGACCUACAGUCAGGCUUCUAAACAACGGACUGUUUAAGACAAACAUCAGAAACCCCUCGCUCAGGCUGUAACGGUCCUGCAGGCAGAGCCCACGGUGGCACGGGGACCAGAGCCUCACUGGGCAGUUCAGCCUCAAGCCACACAGCUGCCAGCUGGCACCAGGGGCACAGAGUGAGAUCCUGGGAACGUGAGUUGGGAUGUGAGCUUGCCUGGCCGCUGGGCUCUAGGCAGGUCGCCCGACACCCUGGGCUCAGCCUCCUCACCUGCAAACCAGGCUGGCAGAGCAGCAGCUCAGACACAGGGCCACCCCUGUUCCUGCUCGGCCUGGCUGAGCCCUGCCAUGCCCUGGUGUCUGAUUGUCCUUCCACCUGGGGUGACAGGGCCUUUCCCCCGUGUGGCCUCUCACCCCCACCCCUGCCUGCGGACACGGAUACCCCAGCCGCCAUGGUCUGUGCUGCUGUGUGUGCAGUCCACUCUUUCUGUGCUGGCAGGCCCUGGACUUGGCUCGUAGGACCAGGCUUGGACACCUCCUCCUUGAUGGAAAAAUGGGCGUUCUUCAAAUGACUAUCACCUCGCUGAGUCCCAGUCAGGACCUGGUUCCUUCUUCACAAUGCAGACCUUCGGCCCUCACCAUUGCUACGGAGAACUGGCACCACGAGAUGGACUGCUUGGCUCAGCUUCAAGGAGAGAGGACAAUGUAGACAUCACCUCUCGAUGGAAAGAGUACCGAAGAACUUGCGGGUCAGGUCAGGCUCCUCGAGACUCCCCUCGCCUGACACCACAGCCAGUGGCUCCCCAACUGCUUCUGAGCUGAGCCCGAGGCCGCUGAGCCGCAUCUCCCCACUGACUGUGUCCACAGGAGAGGGUCUUGGGCAGCCACGCCUCAGCUGAGGACCCCUGGGCUCCUCUCCCAGCCAGGCCCUUCCCUGUCGGUGCCCAUGGCCGGGCGCCCCAGACCAGGCAGGGGUGGCAUGGAGCUUCUCCCAAUCCUAUCCCCUUUUGUUGCCAGUUCAGUGGGUCCAGGUGGUUGAGUAUCAGAGUGCUCCAUCUCAUUUCCCUUUGGGGUUGCUGUAGGUGAUCUGGG
Molecule: long non-coding RNA, 2101 nt
Filed under: Heterocephalus glaber (naked mole-rat)
Lineage: Eukaryota; Metazoa; Chordata; Mammalia; Rodentia; Bathyergidae
Description: lncRNA (ENSHGLG00000037754.1)
Source: RNAcentral